Molecule: ribosomal RNA, 378 nt
Filed under: uncultured eukaryote
Lineage: Eukaryota
Description: partial 18S ribosomal RNA
Rfam family: Eukaryotic small subunit ribosomal RNA
Source: RNAcentral
CAAUAGCGUAUAUUUAAGUUGUUGCAGUUAAAAAGCUCGUAGUUGGAUUUCGGGUGGGACGCAGCGGUCUCGCAUUGCGUUUGUACUGCUGCAGCCCUCCUUCUUGCCGGGGGCGGCCUCUCAGACUUCACUGUCUGGGGGUCAGAAUCGGCGAUGUUACUUUGAGUAAAUUAGAGUGUUCAAAGCAAGCUUACGCUCUGAAUAUAAUAGCAUGGGAUAACACGACAGGACUCUGGCCUAUCGUGUUGGUCUAUAGGACCAGAGUAAUGAUUAAGAGGGACAGUCGGGGGCAUUCGUAUUCCGUUGUCAGAGGUGAAAUUCUUGGAUUUACGGAAGACGAACAUCUGCGAAAGCAUUUGCCAAGGAUGUUUUCAUUGA